GAGCCCAGAACACGCACCCAGGCUGCAGGAAGUCAUUUAUCCUUACAAGAUUUUCAGCGUCUAAACCCAAGAUGUCUAGGAACAUGCGGGAUAGAUGACCGCGGCUUCAGCGCACGCCACUGCGUAGCAGCAACCCAUCCCCUAGCAACUUUUGUUUCCAUGGCAAAAGCUGUCCUGUUUACGUUGAGCUUUACUAUCCCCCACUGAUCCACAGAGAUGUAACCGGACUGGCGAGCAGGCAGGAGGUGGUUAUGUACAUUCAGAUGGCCUUGGGAAAAACAGAUGGUCAGAGCAUUAUUUUCUUGAUUCCCAUCCUGGAGAGGCCAGCUGUACUCACCACCAGUGCAUUUCCAGCAUGCAAACCAGGUGAAACACUGGAACAAACCAGGAACAAACACUGCAGUAGGAGAGGUAAACACCAGCUAAGGUCAGGUUUGUUUUGGUGCCAGAAUAAUA
RNAcentral lists this long non-coding RNA (456 nucleotides) under Anser brachyrhynchus (Pink-footed goose). RNAcentral describes it as "lncRNA (ENSABRG00000013301.1)". Lineage: Eukaryota; Metazoa; Chordata; Aves; Anseriformes; Anatidae. The record is from RNAcentral.